This 202-nucleotide long non-coding RNA is filed under the name Aquilegia coerulea. RNAcentral describes it as "long non-coding RNA (ACOE_LNC001047)". Lineage: Eukaryota; Viridiplantae; Streptophyta; Magnoliopsida; Ranunculales; Ranunculaceae. The record is from RNAcentral.
CGCUUUGAUGGGACCAAAGGUUAAUCACUUGGGUCAGCAUUAAACUAUACGACUCUGUGUUAUAAAAGAUAUGUGAGGGAGAUACUCAACCCCUCAUUACAGCCAUAGAAAACACUUAGGUAUCACCCCACACAAUCUGACAGUCUCAGCCAACAGUAUACACCUAGGCAAAAACUCCAAGCAUUGCCCAGUAUGAGCUCCA